This 253-nucleotide ribosomal RNA is filed under the name uncultured bacterium. RNAcentral describes it as "partial 16S ribosomal RNA". It matches the Rfam family "Bacterial small subunit ribosomal RNA", at positions 524 to 776 of the family's 1533-position model. The record is from RNAcentral.
UACAGAGGUCCCGAGCGUUGUUCGGAUUCACUGGGCGUAAAGGGUGCGUAGGUGGUGAGGUAAGUCGGAUGUGAAAUCUCCGGGCUCAACCCGGAAAUGGCAUUGGAAACUACCUUGCUAGAGGAUUUGAGGGGGGAUUGGAAUACUUGGUGUAGCAGUGAAAUGCGUAGAUAUCAAGUGGAACACCAGUGGCGAAGGCGAAUCCCUGGAAAAUACCUGACACUGAGGAACGAAAGCUAGGGGAGCAAACAGG